UGUGCCGAAAUACGUACGCCGCAGCAGUGGGUGGUGGGCCAUGUUGACGGAGUAGAACAGAAAAUUUUAACGCGAAGGUGGACGGCAUCCACUGUCGGCGAGGUGGGCUGCGGAUCGGAAUUCGGCGCACCCGUCUGAUCCGUGGCUCAGAUGGGGAGCGCCCCCCAGUGCGAGCGUCAUGGAGAGCCGGCGGCGAGGGAGCAUCAAGUUUUUGAUGCAGCCAGCCGACAGAUCCACUUUUAUUGAGGAAGUAGGGGAGAGCUUGGUGCCGCCCCCUGUGGUAUACGGGCGGAGCUGGAGGUGACACGGUAGCAUCUGACCGUGGCCAGCGGCGAAGCACAGAUCGUCGCUGUGAUGGCCAGAUGGGAGAGCUCUCCUCUGACCUUGGAGUUGUCAGUGGGCAAGAUGAGUCCGCAAGCGCCCGUAUGGAAUAAGCGGCCGAGGAUUGGUGCUGCAGCACCCAGGAGGCGCCGUGAUCAAAUCAUAUUAGUGCCUUGGGAAAGCUUGUCAGGUGUUCUGCAGAAAUCCCAGCUGAAAAUGUAAUCACUGAACUACAUUCGACUCGCUGGGUGAGGCGAACAAUUUGUACAAUCUAUAAUUCCUGGGAGAAGGGCUUUGGCUUCAGAUAGUGGAAGAGCCGUGCAGGAAAUAGCGUGCGGGUGCUCAGUAACAGAACCACCGUGCUAGAGGAGGUUAACGACAUCGACGUUCCAAUGGAGCCGCUCCACUACCCAGUGGUCGCAACCGUUGCAGAUCAGCUGCCACCCAUGGCAGGAGUGAGUGUGGAUGGCUGGAUGCGAAGGGUGAGGACAAACAGGAGUGAACGUCAGUAACUUAGUUUGCUGAUUCUGAGAGCUCAAGAUUUUGAAGAUCAUUAUGUUAUGAGAGCUCAAUAUAUUGAUAUCCGAAACAAAUACCCACGAUGCAGAAGAGAUGUAUUGUAAUGAAAUUUCUUAUCGUUCUAUGCAUCGCUAUGCUAUUACACAAUUUGUUAUAUAAGACUUGUUGAUCCUCCGGGUACAAAUUCUACCCUGGCCAACAUAAGGGAGUUGCACAUAGAGUGAACUAGAAAAUGUCAUUAUAUAGUAGUAUUAUUUUUCAUAUCAGUUAGUUAAGCCAAAUAUUUCUUUAUUAUUGUGCUUCACUAGUGAUACAUAAGGCAUUGAUAUUUGAAGGUGCAUAAGCUUCCACACCAACAGUCGAUCAUGAAUUGAUGCCUAAAAACAUUUUGUGCAUUCGACAAUCGUAUGGGAGCAUGGAACCAGUUCCUUCAGUGAAGAGAUACAUUGACUUUGUUGUCAUUUAACAAAUAUUAUGUAUAAAUAAGAUGUCAGCACUGUGUAGAUUUCUGAAAAAGAGAAUGGUGCUAUGGAGGGUGAGUAACAAACAUAUCAUACUUGCCACGCUGAACUCAAUACACGUCCACUGCUACUUUGUUGCUUAUGUACGUGCCAGUAGUGUUGUACUGCUGUCCAAGUUCUUGCCAUUUCAAAUUUAUAUGCUACGGCCGCAUGUAGUUUCAGAUGCUUGUUAUAGCUAAUUGCCAGCUUAGUUAAGCCUAUGUUAUUUGCAUGUUCCAGCAGUGUUACUGGCUGAUGUCUAGAUAUUUAUUUUCAUAUUUCAUUUGCAACAAUCAGUCCAUGCUGGAGAUGGAGAGCAUUGGUCAGAGCGUAGAAUCUACUGCUACAGUUGCGCUGGAAGAUGAUGCCAAUAGCAGUUUCACGGGAUGCAAAGGAGUUGGUUUCCGGCAGUAUAGAUAGUUACAGUACACCAAGGAAGAGAAGUAGCAUGCCAAUCCAUAUUUACACAGCCUAAGGGGAGUGAUGGUAAUACCAGUAUGGAAGCGUUUUACUUGUGCAUGGAAAGGAUGGAGGGAGGAGAAAACUGUAUUGAACGAUCAUGUGAAGAAGUCGAGGAAGAAAGUAAAGCUAACUAGUUGUGGUUGUGAGGCCAUGAUUAGCUUGAGGAGAAGAGAUGAUGGAAAUUAUGAGGUCCUCCGAUUCGUCUGUCAGCACACGCAUCAACUUGUCUCUACGAAUAAGAAACAAUUCACUAGAACUAACAGGGAAGUCAGUAGUGAAUUGAGGAGCACAUUCUUGACAUGUCACAGCAUUGAUGAGCCCUUGCCAGAAAAAUUGGCGUACACUAAUUGGGACCAGGAGAGGUACCCAGAGAAAUUGGUGUCAGACAGAGGUGGGAACUUGAGCCCCCAAUCAUCCUUGCUCAUUGGUCAACCAUCAUAAUAUUCAUUGAAGCAUUUGAACAAAGCAGUCUGGUGCUUCCGUGCAAUGGCCAUAUCCCGCGCCUUGCCAUGGUGCUGGAAUGCAUUUGUGCUGUACCAAAGGGUCGAAAAAAUUGAUCGCUUUCGUUACCAUGCCCCAUACAAUGAUUACCCAGCCUUCUGGGCAUGGUACUGGGAUGAAGAACUGUUGUCCAAACAAAACCAUAACUGGUUAAUGCAGGUCAAAGGUGAAGAGAGCAUGCACAAAUUCUCUGGGGAUGAAUCUGGGGCCUGUGUCAUCCAUAUAGCCCGACACUUUGACGGGGGCAAGUUGAAGUUGCUGCUCGUGAAGCAUAAUGUCUCCAAAACCAAGAUGGAUACACUGCACGAGUGCAUGAAGCUCCAUGGGAAUUCUCCACAGUCUCCCAUGAUGCACUAUCUAGUCUUGGCACCAUCCGAUUCUGCAUCCGACGCUUAGCAAGCCAGAUUAUGCCUGAACCACCGUAUCACUAGCCACUGCGAUUCCCAUAAUAUCUAGUUUGUUAGUUUGCAUUAUGUACCUUCAACCUUGUCACUGUUAUGUACCCUCAACCUUGUCAAUCUUAAGUUAUUUCCAUGGAUGUCUGUCUUGCUCGA
Triticum dicoccoides is the source of this 2857-nucleotide long non-coding RNA. RefSeq lists it as uncharacterized. The record is from RefSeq and is a predicted model, not a curated record. The transcript is spliced from 9 exons. Lineage: Eukaryota; Viridiplantae; Streptophyta; Magnoliopsida; Poales; Poaceae.